This is a long non-coding RNA of Dermochelys coriacea (leatherback sea turtle), 827 nucleotides long. RefSeq lists it as uncharacterized. Lineage: Eukaryota; Metazoa; Chordata; Testudines; Dermochelyidae. The transcript is spliced from 3 exons. The record is from RefSeq and is a predicted model, not a curated record.
GGGAGGGAGGUGCGGGGAGAUCAGGCCGGUGCGCGGGGCUCAGGCAGCUGGGUCCCUGCCGUGGGCUGCCCGGCAGAGAGGAGGGCAGACAGGUGCUGCCUGGCGGCCUUUAAAAGGCCCGCACUGCAGCAGGUCAGUGUCUCGGCCUCAGUCGCGGGAGGGGGCGCAGCAGGAUGAACCAAUUGCUGUUUCAAAGGAGCUGGGCUGCAGCUUGAAGAUGGCUGUGUACCCGCCUGCCUCCCUGGGGGCUCCGAUUCCACGUGCCUAGCGCCUCCUUCAAGCCUCUGGGCUCGGCGAGGUUAGCUGGCUAUAGCCGGCAGCUUGCAGCUGCAUAGCAAAGUGGGGAUUGUUUCUGCAUGGUCAAUCCACUGUCUUGCACCAAAGGAGACAGGGUGGUUGGUACCGUGGGCUGCACUGUGGUGUUCCCUGAACCAGAUCACAUUGACACCAUGGGAUUGUAUGCUGGGAACAUAAACAAAUGAAAAUAUCACUGAACUGUCCGUCGUACUUUAUUAUGGACUCAUGGAAAUGGGACAUCUUACCAGCAUAUAAGGAUCAUAUGUAUUUAACAUGUUCCACUGGUCCCUGAGACUGAAAUUUACAACUAGCAGAUCGAGGCCUGUAACGAUUAAGGAGAGAAGAGGAGGACAAGAGUGAAUCUAGUUGGAGGUUAUAGAGCCCUUAUCCAAGCUGGAACUCUUUAGGAACUCUUCCUUAGUGGGUUCCACCAUUGAAAUGGUCUGUAAUGUGACAGUAGGUAGGGUGGAUUCCUAUCUGUGGAGUAAGGACCAUAAGCCUCUCCCUGGGUCUGAUCACUACCAACUCUC